GAUGAACGCUAGCGGCAGGCUUAACACAUGCAAGUCGAGGGGCAGCGCGGGAUAGCAAUAUCCUGGCGGCGACCGGCGGAAGGGUGCGUAACGCGUGAGCGACAUGCCCGUUGCCCGGGGACAACCGGUGGAAACGCCGACUAAUCCCCGAUGGGAUAUUGUGCCGCAUGGCACGAUAUUGAAAGUUACGGCGGCGACGGAUUGGCUCGCGUCCGAUUAGCUUGUUGGCGGGGUAACGGCCCACCAAGGCUGCGAUCGGUAGGGGUUCUGAGAGGAAGGCCCCCCACAAUGGGACUGAGACACGGCCCAUACUCCGACGGGAGGAAGCAGUGAGGAAUAUUGGUCAAUGGGCGGAAGCCUGAACCAGCCAUGCCGCGUGCGGGAAGGAGGCCCUAUGGGCUGUGAACCGCUUUUGCCUGGGGGCAAUAAGGGCGUCGCGCACGUCCGAUGAGAGUACCAGGCGAAUAAGCAUCGGCUAACUCCGUG
Molecule: ribosomal RNA, 486 nt
Filed under: uncultured bacterium
Lineage: Bacteria
Description: partial 16S ribosomal RNA
Rfam family: Bacterial small subunit ribosomal RNA
Source: RNAcentral